CCUACGGGAGGCAGCAGUGAGGAAUAUUGGUCAAUGGUCGGGAGACUGAACCAGCCAAGCCGCGUGAGGGAUGAAGGUACAGAGUAUCGUAAACCUCUUUUGUCAGGGAACAAAGGCGGGGACGUGUCCCCGGAUGAGUGUACCUGAAGAAAAAGCAUCGGCUAACUCCGUGCCAGCAGCCGCGGUAAUACGGAGGAUGCGAGCGUUAUCCGGAUUGAUUGGGUUUAAAGGGUGCGCAGGCGGUCUGUUAAGUCAGCGGUCAAAGCCCGGGGCACAACCCGGGCCCGCCGUUGAAACUGGCAGUCUCGAGUUGGAGAGAAGUAUGCGGAAUGCGCGGUGUAGCGGUGAAAUGCAUAGAUAUCGCGAAGAACUCCGAUUGCGAAGGCAGCAUGCCGGCUCCAAACUGACGCUGAGGCACGAAAGCGUGGGUAUCGAACAGGAUUAGAUACCCCUGUAGUC
RNAcentral lists this ribosomal RNA (459 nucleotides) under uncultured bacterium. Its description in RNAcentral is "partial 16S ribosomal RNA". It matches the Rfam family "Bacterial small subunit ribosomal RNA", at positions 338 to 795 of the family's 1533-position model. The record is from RNAcentral.